RNAcentral lists this ribosomal RNA (341 nucleotides) under Nematoda environmental sample. Its description in RNAcentral is "SSU rRNA". It matches the Rfam family "Eukaryotic small subunit ribosomal RNA", at positions 1300 to 1665 of the family's 1831-position model. Lineage: Eukaryota; Metazoa; Nematoda. The record is from RNAcentral.
GGUGGAGCGAUUUGUCUGGUUAAUUCCGAUAACGAACGAGACUCUAGCCUGCUAAAUAGGCAGUGGAUUCUUAGUCCACUGUACUUCUUAGAGGGACAAGCAGCGUCUAGCUGCACGAGAUUGAGCAAUAACAGGUCUGUGAUGCCCUUAGAUGUUCGGGGCUGCACGCGCGCUACACUGAAGGAAUCAACAUGCUUCUCAACCUUGCCCGGAAGGGCUAGGUAACCCGUUGAAACUCCUUCGUGAUUGGGAUAGGGAAUUGCAAUUAUUUCCCUUGAACGAGGAAUUCCCAGUAAGUGCGGGUCAUCAGCUCGCGCUGAAUACGUCCCUGCCCUUUGUAC